CUUGGUCAUUUAGAGGAAGUAAAAGUCGUAACAAGGUCUCCGUUGGUGAACCAGCGGAGGGAUCAUUAAAGAGUUCCAAAAAGACUCCCUAAACCCACUGUGAACCUACCUGUUUUUGUUGCUUCGGCAGGCGGCCCCAGGGCGGGGCCACGGCCUUUUCGCUAAGGCGCCUGCCGGAGGUCGUACCGAACUCGUGUUGCCAUUUGCGAUCCUCUGAGUACCAAAACAAAAUAAGUCAAAACUUUCAACAACGGAUCUCUUGGUUCUGGCAUCGAUGAAGAACGCAGCGAAAUGCGAUAAGUAAUGUGAAUUGCAGAAUUCAGUGAAUCAUCGAAUCUUUGAACGCACAUUGCGCCCGCUAGCACUCUAGCGGGCAUGCCUGUUCGAGCGUCAUUUCAACCCUCAAGCCCUGGCCGCUUGGUGUUGGGGCACUCUACGGCGCGCACCGCGCCGUAGGCCCUCAAAGUCAGUGGCGGGCCCGCCGCAACCCCGAGCGCAGUAGUCUUCUCCUCGCUCCGGGCGUUCGGCGGGCGCCUCGCCGUGAAACCCCCCCCAGCUUACGCAAGGUUGACCUCGGAUCAGGUAGGAAUACCCGCUGAACUUAAGCAUAUCAAUAAGCGGAGGAAAAGAAACCAACAGGGAUUGCCUCAGUAACGGCGAGUGAAGCGGCAACAGCUCAAAUUUGAAAUCUGGCCCCCGGCCCGAGUUGUAAUUUGCAGAGGAUGCUUUUGGCGCGGCGCCUUCCGAGUUCCCUGGAACGGGACGCCAUAGAGGGUGAGAGCCCCGUACGGUUGGACGCCAAGCCUCUGUAAAGCUCCUUCGACGAGUCGAGUAGUUUGGGAAUGCUGCUCAAAACGGGAGGUAAAUGCCUUCUAAAGCUAAAUACCGGCCAGAGACCGAUAGCGCACAAGUAGAGUGAUCGAAAGAUGAAAAGCACUUUGAAAAGAGGGUUAAAUAGCACGUGAAAUUGUUGAAAGGGAAGCGCUUAUGACCAGACUUGCGCCCCGUGAAUCAUCCAGCGUUCUCGCUGGUGCACUUCGCGGGGCCCAGGCCAGCAUCGAUUUUCCCAGGGGGACAAAAGCCGCGGGGACGUAGCUCCUCCGGGAGUGUUAUAGCCCGCGGCACAAUGCCCUUGGGGGGAUCGAGGUCCGCGCUCCGCAAGGAUGCUGGCGUAAUGGUCAUCAGCGACCCGUCUUGAAACACGGACC
This 1208-nucleotide ribosomal RNA is filed under the name Pseudoproboscispora caudae-suis. RNAcentral's name for it is "eukaryotic LSU rRNA". The stretch from base 569 to 1208 matches the Rfam family "Eukaryotic large subunit ribosomal RNA", at positions 1 to 667 of the family's 3401-position model. Lineage: Eukaryota; Fungi; Ascomycota; Sordariomycetes; Annulatascales; Annulatascaceae. The record is from RNAcentral.